AGAGUUUGAUCAUGGCUCAGGACGAACGCUGGCGGCGCGCUUAACACAUGCAAGUCGAGCGAGAACCAGGACUUCGGUCCUGGGGACAGCGGCGAACGGGUGAGUAACACGUGGAUAACCUGCCCUCGGCACCGGGAUAGCCCGGGGAAACUCGGAUUAAUACCGGAUGGCCCCUCCGGCUUUCGAGCCGGUCGGAAAAGGUAGCUUCGGCCUCCGGCCGAGGAUGGGUCCGCGGCGGAUUAGCUUGUUGGUGGGGUAACGGCCUACCAAGGCUUCGAUCCGUAGCUGGUCUGAGAGGACGAUCAGCCACACUGGGACUGAGACACGGCCCAGACUCCUACGGGAGGCAGCAGUGGGGAAUCUUGCGCAAUGGGCGAAAGCCUGACGCAGCGACGCCGCGUGAGGGAGGAAGGCCUUCGGGUUGUAAACCUCUUUCAGGAGGGACGAAGCUACUCGGGUGAAUAGCCCAGAGGGUGACGGUACCUCCAGAAGAAGCCCCGGCUAACUACGUGCCAGCAGCCGCGGUA
This 527-nucleotide ribosomal RNA is filed under the name uncultured Actinomycetes bacterium. RNAcentral's name for it is "bacterial SSU rRNA". It matches the Rfam family "Bacterial small subunit ribosomal RNA", at positions 8 to 522 of the family's 1533-position model. The record is from RNAcentral. Lineage: Bacteria; Bacillati; Actinomycetota; Actinomycetes.